Mytilus californianus (California mussel) is the source of this 2428-nucleotide long non-coding RNA. RefSeq lists it as uncharacterized. NCBI's taxonomy places the organism in Eukaryota, Metazoa, Mollusca, Bivalvia, Mytilida, Mytilidae. The transcript has 2 exons. The record is from RefSeq and is a predicted model, not a curated record.
UAUACGACAGCAAAAAAAUUUUGUGGUCGUAUAUUGGUAUGACGUCGUCGUCGUCGUCGUCGUCGUCGUCGUCGUCGUCGUCCGGCGUCGUCGUCGUCGUCGUCGUCGUCCGGCGUCGUCGUCGUCCGGCGUCGUCGUCCGAAUACAUAUUGGUUUUCGCACUCUAACUUUAGUUUAAGUGAAUGGAUCUUUUUGAAAUUUGAUCAUAAGGUUAAAUACCACAAAAGGAAGGUUGGGAUUGAUUUUGGGGGUUAUGGUACCAACAGUUAAGGAAUUAGGGGCCAAAAAGGGGCCAAAAAUGAGCAUUUUCUAGUUUCCAGACAAUAACUGUGGAACGGUGUAUGGAUCUCUCUGAAAUUAUACUACAAGUUUCCAUACCACAAAGGGAUGGUUAGGAUUUGCUUUGGGGGGUUAUGGCUCAAACUGUUUAGGAAUUAGGGGCAAAAAAGGGGGAAAAACAAGGUUGUCCUGGUUAAUGGACAAAUACUUUAGUACAAAACAUAAUUUAAAGCAGUGUAAGGGAGAUAAAUCAAAUACAUCAUUGAAAUUAUCUCCCUUACACUGCUUUUAAAUUAUGUAUAAAGUAAUGGUUAAUGAACAAUAAAGAUAAUCUAAAACAGUGUAAGGGAGGUAAUCCAAAUACAACGUUUUGGUUACUUCCCUUACACUGCUUUUAAAUUAUGUUUAAAGAAAUGCAUAUUUAUAAAGGAAGACCAGUAAAAAUAUCUGCAAAUGUUUUCAUCUUUUUUUUUUACAAAAAAAUCCAUAUGAAAGAUUUGACACUAUAUUUUUUAUUAAUUCUAUUAUAAAAUAGAUUAAGUUAGCACUAUGGUAAAUUUAAAUGGGUAAUUAUGGUUGCCAACUCCAUUGGAAAUUUGAAUUGAGAUUAUGACCAUAUCUUGAGGGAAAGAAUUUUUUUGGGGGAAAAAGGGGGGGGGGAUAAAAAGAAAUUGUGGGGGGCCAAUUUUUUCUCAUUUCAGAUUUCAGAAAUUAAAAAGAAUUAUUCUUCAAAUAUUAUUUUUUUUUCAAAUUUCAAAUAUUGAAAAAUUUCAAGAAGUAAUCUUUAAUUGCACAGUAUGGCGCAUUAGAUUUGUAAAAUCUUUGAUCACAUUUAUUUAUUUGUUAUGCCGAAUCUAACAGUGUAUUUAGAUUUUUAAUUUUGGGUCCAGUUUUCAAAUUGGUCUACAUUAAUGUCCAAAGGGUCCAAAAUUAAACUUUGUUUGAUUUUAGCAAAAAUUGAAUAUAUGAGGUUCUUUGAUAUGCUGAAUCUAAACAUGUAUUUAGAUUUUUGAUUUUUGGCCCAGUUUUCAAGUUGGUCCAAAUUGGGGUCCAAAAUUAAACUUUGUUUGAUUUCAACAAAAAUUGAAUAUAUGGGGUUCUUUGAUAUGCUGAAUCUAACCAUGUCUUUAGAUUUUUUAUUUGUGGACCCCGUUAUCUAAUUGGUUCAUAUUGAGGUCAAAAGGGUCCAAAAUUAAACUUUGUUUGAUUUCAUCUAAAAUUGAAUUAUUGGGGUUCUUUGAUAUUCCAAAUCUAACCGUGUAUUUAGAUUUUUAAUUUUAAGUCCCGUUUUUAUACGACCGCAAAAAAAUUUUUGUGGUCGUAUAUUGGUAUGACGUCAGCGUCGUCGUCGUCGUCGUCGUCGUCCGGCGUCGUCGUCCGAAUACACAUUGGUUUUCGCACUCUAACUUUAGUUUAAGUGAAUGGAUCUUUUUGAAAUUUUACCAUAAGGUUAAAUACCACAAAAGAAAGGUUGGGAUUGGUUUUGGGGGUUAUGGUACCAACAAUUAAGGAAUUAGGGGCCAAAAAGGGGCCAAAAAUAAGCAUUUUCUAGUUUCCAGACAAUAACUGUGGAACAGUGUAUGGAUCUCUCUGAAAUUAUACUACAAGUUUCCAUACCACAAAGGGAUGGUUAGGAUUUGCUUUGGGGGGUUAUGGCUCAAACCGUUUAGGAAUUAGGGGCAAAAAAGGGGGAAAAACAAGGUUGUCCUGGUUAAUGGACAAAUACUUUAGUACGAAACAUAAUUUAAAGCAGUGUAAGGGAGAUAAAUCAAAUACAUCAUUGAAAUUAUCUCCCUUACACUGCUUUUAAAUUAUGUAUAAAGUAAUGGUUAAUGAACAAUAAAGAUAAUUUAAAACAGUGUAAGGGAGGUAAUCCAAAUACAACGUUUUGGUUACUUCCCUUACACUGCUUUUAAAUUAUGUUUAAAGAAAUGCAUAUUUAUAAAGGAAGACCAGUAAAAAUAUCUGCAAAUGUUGCAUCAUUUUAUUUUACAAAAAAAUCUAUAUGAAAGAUUUGACACUAUAUUUUUAAUUCUAUUAUAAAAUAGAUUAAGUAAGCACUAUGGUAAAAUUAAAUGGGUAAUUAUGGUUGCCAACUCCAUUGGAAAUUUGAAUUGAGAUUAUGACCAUAUCUUGAGGGAAAGAAUUU